UUAAAUUGAAGAGUUUGAUCAUGGCUCAGAUUGAACGCUGGCGGCAGGCCUAACACAUGCAAGUCGAACGGUGACAGGAAGCAGCUUGCUG
This 91-nucleotide ribosomal RNA is filed under the name Shigella flexneri. RNAcentral describes it as "partial 16S ribosomal RNA". It matches the Rfam family "Bacterial small subunit ribosomal RNA", at positions 1 to 85 of the family's 1533-position model. Lineage: Bacteria; Pseudomonadati; Pseudomonadota; Gammaproteobacteria; Enterobacterales; Enterobacteriaceae. The record is from RNAcentral.